GACGAACGCUGGCGGCGUGCUUAACACAUGCAAGUCGAACGGAAAGGCCCUGCUUUUGUGGGGUGCUCGAGUGGCGAACGGGGGAGUAACACGUGAGUAACCUGCCCUUGACUUUGGGAUAACUUCAGGAAACUGGGGCUAAUACCGGAUAGGAGCUCCUGCUGCAUGGUGGGGGUUGGUAAGUUUCGGCGGUUGGGGAUGGACUCGCGGCUUAUCAGCUUGUUGGUGGGGUAGUGGCUUACCAAGGCUUUGACGGGUAGCCGGCCUGAGAGGGUGACCGGCCACAUUGGGACUGAGAUACGGCCCAGACUCCUACGGGAGGCAGAAGUGGGGAAUAUUGCACAAUGGGCGGAAGCCUGAUGCAGCAACGCCGCGUGCGGGAUGACGGCAUUCGGGUUGUAAACCGCUGUCGCCUGUGACGAAGCGUGAGUGACGGUAAUGGGUAAAGAAGCACCGGCUAACUACGUG
Molecule: ribosomal RNA, 468 nt
Filed under: uncultured bacterium
Lineage: Bacteria
Description: partial 16S ribosomal RNA
Rfam family: Bacterial small subunit ribosomal RNA
Source: RNAcentral